Molecule: ribosomal RNA, 398 nt
Filed under: uncultured bacterium
Lineage: Bacteria
Description: partial 16S ribosomal RNA
Rfam family: Bacterial small subunit ribosomal RNA
Source: RNAcentral
AUACGUAGGGUGCGAGCGUUGUCCGGAAUUACUGGGCGUAAAGAGCUCGUAGGUGGUUUGUCGCGUCGUCUGUGAAAUUCCGGGGCUUAACUCCGGGCGUGCAGGCGAUACGGGCAUAACUUGAGUACUGUAGGGGAGACUGGAAUUCCUGGUGUAUCGGUGAAAUGCGCAGAUAUCAGGAGGAACACCGGUGGCGAAGGGGGGUCUCUGGGCAGUAACUGACGCUGAGGAGCGAAAGCAUGGGUAGCGAACAGGAUUAGAUACCCUGGUAGUCCAUGCCGUAAACGGUGGGCGCUAGGUGUAGGGGUCUUCCACGACUUCUGUGCCGUAGCUAACGCAUUAAGCGCCCCGCCUGGGGAGUACGGCCGCAAGGCUAAAACUCAAAGGAAUUGACGGGG